GAUGAACGCUGGCGGCGUGCCUAAUACAUGCAAGUCGAGCGAACAGACGAGGAACUUGCUCCUCUGACGUUAGCGGCGGACGGGUGAGUAACACGUGGAUAACCUACCUAUAAGACUGGGAUAACUUCGGGAAACCGGAGCUAAUACCGGAUAAUAUAUUGAACCGCAUGGUUCAAUAGUGACAGACGGUUUUGCUGUCACUUAUACAUGGAUCCGCGCCGCAUUAGCUAGUUGGUCAGGUAACGGCUUACCAAGGCAACGAUGCGUAGCCGACCUGAGAGGGUGAUCGGCCACACUGGAACUGAGACACGUUCCAGACUCCUACGGGAGGCAGCAGUAGGGAAUCUUCCGCAAUGGGCGAAAGCUUGACGGAGCAACGCCGCGUGAGUGAUGAAGGUCUUCGGAUCGUAAAACUCUGUUAUUAGGGAAGAACAAAUGUGUAAGUAACUAUGCACGUCUUGACGGUACCUAAUCAGAAAGCCACGGCUAACUACGUG
RNAcentral lists this ribosomal RNA (497 nucleotides) under uncultured bacterium. RNAcentral's name for it is "partial 16S ribosomal RNA". It matches the Rfam family "Bacterial small subunit ribosomal RNA", at positions 28 to 507 of the family's 1533-position model. The record is from RNAcentral.